This 492-nucleotide ribosomal RNA is filed under the name uncultured bacterium. RNAcentral's name for it is "bacterial SSU rRNA". It matches the Rfam family "Bacterial small subunit ribosomal RNA", at positions 29 to 518 of the family's 1533-position model. The record is from RNAcentral.
AACGAACGCUGGCGGCGUGGCUAAGGCAUGCAAGUCGAGCGGACCUAUUCAAAGGGUAACUGGAGGAUAGGUUAGCGGCGGACGGGUGAGGAAUACAUGGAUAACGUACCCCGGACACAGGGAUAGCGGCGGGCCGCAAGGUCCUUUGCGAAAGUGCCGGUAAUACCUGAUGACCCCCGUAGGAUCGCAUGAUCCCGCGGGCAAAGCUCCGACGGUCUGGGAUCGGUUCAUGUCCUACAGCUAGUUGGCGGGGUAACGGCCCACCAAGGCGGCGACGGGUACCGGGUGUGAGAGCAUGACCCGGCACAUCGGAACUGAGACACGGUCCGGACACCUACGGGUGGCUGCAGCAACGAAUAUUCCGCAAUGGACGAAAGUCUGACGGAGCGACGCCGCGUGCAGGAAGAAGUCCCUCGGGAUGUAACUGCUGUCAGGGGUGAGAACACAAUGACCAGCCCCAGAGGAAGUACCGGCUAACUCCGUGCCACGCCG